RNAcentral lists this ribosomal RNA (609 nucleotides) under Meyerozyma guilliermondii. Its description in RNAcentral is "eukaryotic LSU rRNA". The stretch from base 211 to 364 matches the Rfam family "5.8S ribosomal RNA". The record is from RNAcentral. Lineage: Eukaryota; Fungi; Ascomycota; Pichiomycetes; Serinales; Debaryomycetaceae.
GUAACAAGGUUUCCGUAGGUGAACCUGCGGAAGGAUCAUUACAGUAUUCUUUUGCCAGCGCUUAACUGCGCGGCGAAAAACCUUACACACAGUGUCUUUUUGAUACAGAACUCUUGCUUUGGUUUGGCCUAGAGAUAGGUUGGGCCAGAGGUUUAACAAAACACAAUUUAAUUAUUUUUACAGUUAGUCAAAUUUUGAAUUAAUCUUCAAAACUUUCAACAACGGAUCUCUUGGUUCUCGCAUCGAUGAAGAACGCAGCGAAAUGCGAUAAGUAAUAUGAAUUGCAGAUUUUCGUGAAUCAUCGAAUCUUUGAACGCACAUUGCGCCCUCUGGUAUUCCAGAGGGCAUGCCUGUUUGAGCGUCAUUUCUCUCUCAAACCCCCGGGUUUGGUAUUGAGUGAUACUCUUAGUCGGACUAGGCGUUUGCUUGAAAAGUAUUGGCAUGGGUAGUACUGGAUAGUGCUGUCGACCUCUCAAUGUAUUAGGUUUAUCCAACUCGUUGAAUGGUGUGGCGGGAUAUUUCUGGUAUUGUUGGCCCGGCCUUACAACAACCAAACAAGUUUGACCUCAAAUCAGGUAGGAAUACCCGCUGAACUUAAGCAUAUCAAUA